GCGCACUGUCUAAGCUUCAGUUCUGGCGAAAUCACUGCACAGACAUUCACAAGAUCACCAUCAGCAGUAAUACUUCUGGGUCCCUGAAGCUGCUACUCUGGUUAAGCCAGCCACAGUUUGUUGUUAAAGAGGUAGAAGAAGUGUAGAUUUUAAAUCCAGAAAAUAUGAGGAAAUUGUGUAUAUUCGGUUAGCUGCAUCUAAACAAGAUCAAGAUGCAGACAUUUGGAUCUUUAUCUUAAAGGGCUUUGAGGACAUUUUCUACAUAUCCAGGAUGGCUGAAACGAGGGCUGUUGAUGAGGGGCAAAUUCUGGUAAUAAGCUCCUGGGAAAGACGUGCCGACUUGAGAGGAAACUGCAAAUGCAGAUCCACAAGUGAGCGCCGGAGGAAGAGGGCCGAUCCGCUAGUGGACCCCAAUGGAUGUCAAGAUGGAAAGGCGUCCUGAACUGCAAGUGUGUGGGUGAAGCCCCAGUGUGGGUACUGAAUAGGAAAGCGUUGAGGUGAAAAUGAAUGUAAAUAAAGAAAGCUGUGCUUAGUGAACGUUUGCCUGUCUCUCUUUCUUCCAGCGCGGAACUAACGAGUGUGCUACAGUCUACCAUUGUUAUAUGGCUGUAAAACUCUUUCUGCUAAAAAAAUAUUAUUUACUUAAAUUGACAGAAAUGCACAAUAAAUGCCCAGACAUUUUUCUAAUUUUAGGGUGAUUUUAAUGAAUGUUUGUAUAACACACUGGACAGAUUUCCUAGAAGCAACAAAGCUCUUCACAUUGAUUCUACACACACACACACACACACACACACACACACACACACACACACACACACACACACACACACACCCUUGGCAUUUAAAACAAGUCUAAUAUUUUUGUUACACUAACAGUUUAUGUCUGUUUAUAACUUUCCUUUACCUUUUAAAGAAUAUAAUGCUGUGCCAAAAGCGAUUCUUUCAGGUCUAGUUCAACUUGUAAAAUCCUUUGUUGUAAGAGUGAUAUUAAGGAAGCUGAACUGAACUUACAUGGAAUUAGUAUACUUGACAAAAACUUUAAUUAUUAAAGUAUUCAACAAAUUCUCUAGAAAAAAAGUUAAAUAUCCCUAAAGGUGAAUUUUACUGUGCAUCUUUCAUUGAUUUAAUAGAUUGGAAAAAAGCCUGGUUGUUACCUCACAAAUACUGUAUUCCCAAAAAAAAACAAAGGUUCAUUUCAAGAUUCUUAAUAAAAUAUACCCGGUGAAUUGUACUUUGGCAAAAUAUAUUGUUGACAGUUCAUGCUCUUUUUCUCGGUAUUCUUCUGGUAUAGCUUAUAUUUUUCAUAUAGGUAAUCACCUUAAUUCUUCCUGUUCUUUUAGUUAAAAGAUAUAAUUUGUUACUAUGAUGGUAAAACUAAUAUAUCAGUGAAUUACAUUAACUUUUUCAUUUUGUUUGGGAAAUGUCUUAUUUCUAAACAAAAAAUUUCUAAACAAGAAAAGUGAUAUUUUUGAAAUCUUAUGAUAAUUAUAUCGGUCAUGUCACUGAUGCAUGAGUCUUUCCUCUGUAGUUGUUCGUGAUUUAUCUUCUCAUUUUUAUUAAUUGAAAUAUUUUACGUGCGUUUGUAUCUUAUUUAUUAUAGUUAUUAGUAUUAUCAUUUUCCUGUAUAGGUUCUGGUUAACCUUGUACAUGUUCAUUG
Molecule: long non-coding RNA, 1657 nt
Organism: Silurus meridionalis
Lineage: Eukaryota; Metazoa; Chordata; Actinopteri; Siluriformes; Siluridae
Exons: 4
Source: RefSeq, a predicted model, not a curated record